Molecule: long non-coding RNA, 224 nt
Filed under: Panax ginseng (ginseng)
Lineage: Eukaryota; Viridiplantae; Streptophyta; Magnoliopsida; Apiales; Araliaceae
Description: long non-coding RNA (PGIN_LNC016625)
Source: RNAcentral
AACGACGAGAUCAUAAGCUUGAUUGAAGAUCUAUCUGGACCAUCUCAAGUGUCAAAUACUCUAACUGAAAACCUAUAUCAAGUUACUGAUGGUCAAGUGCUUAAUUCAUUUGGUUCUGGUGAUUCUCAGUUUGAAAAUGCUACUGAGGUUGAGGUUGAAGUUGAGCAUGGAAAAAAGAGGGAAAAAAAGACCUCAAAAACAUAGGAGGAGUUUAUUAUUGUGAC